ACAGUGCCACGGCCGUCUGAGCUAAGGGCACGAUAAGAAGACAAAAGGCGCAGAUUACUGCGCCUUUUUU
This is a non-coding RNA of Kluyvera ascorbata ATCC 33433, 70 nucleotides long. The record is from Rfam. Lineage: Bacteria; Pseudomonadati; Pseudomonadota; Gammaproteobacteria; Enterobacterales; Enterobacteriaceae.